AGAAUAGUAUUUAAAAUAUAUAAAAUCUAAUCUGCGAUUAGACCUUGCACCUGGCCUAUUCU
This 62-nucleotide transfer RNA is filed under the name Ornithodoros zumpti. RNAcentral's name for it is "tRNA-Ala". The record is from RNAcentral. Lineage: Eukaryota; Metazoa; Arthropoda; Arachnida; Ixodida; Argasidae.